This 512-nucleotide ribosomal RNA is filed under the name uncultured bacterium. RNAcentral describes it as "partial 16S ribosomal RNA". It matches the Rfam family "Bacterial small subunit ribosomal RNA", at positions 28 to 523 of the family's 1533-position model. The record is from RNAcentral.
GACGAACGCUGGCGGCGUGCCUAAUACAUGCAAGUCGAGCGAAUCAACAGGAGCUUGCUCCUGUUGGUUAGCGGCGGACGGGUGAGUAACACGUGGGCAACCUGCCUGUAAGACUGGGAUAACACCGGGAAACCGGUGCUAAUACCGGAUAAUCCUUUUCCUCCCAUGAGGAAAAGCUGAAAGUCGGUUUCGGCUGACACUUACAGAUGGGCCCGCGGCGCAUUAGCUAGUUGGUGAGGUAACGGCUCACAAAGGCGACGAUGCGUAGCCGACCUGAGAGGGUGAUCGGCCACACUGGGACUGAGACACGGCCCAGACUCCUACGGGAGGCAGCAGUAGGGAAUCUUCCACAAUGGGCGAAAGUCUGAUGGAGCAACGCCGCGUGAGCGAUGAAGGCCUUCGGGUCGUAAAGCUCUGUUGUUAGGGAAGAACAAGUACCGGAGUAACUGCCGGUACCUUGACGGUACCUAACCAGAAAGCCACGGCUAACUACGUGCCAGCAGCCGCCGUAA